UACGGAGGGUGCAAGAGUUGUUCGGAAUCACUGAGCGUAAAGCGCGUGUAGGCGGCUUGGUAAGUCGGAUGUGAAAGCCCGGAGAUCAACUCCGGAACUGCAUUCGAAACUACCUCGCUCGAGUCCCGGAGAGUGCGGUGGAAUUCCCGGUGUAGAGGUGAAAUUCGUAGAUAUCGGGAGGAACACCAGUGGCGAAGGCGGCCACCUGGCCGGUGACUGACGCUGAGACGCCACAGCGUGGUGAUUAAAUAGU
This 253-nucleotide ribosomal RNA is filed under the name uncultured bacterium. RNAcentral's name for it is "partial 16S ribosomal RNA". It matches the Rfam family "Bacterial small subunit ribosomal RNA", at positions 524 to 776 of the family's 1533-position model. The record is from RNAcentral.